GCGUAGGAAUCUGCCUGGUAGUGGGGGACAACAUGUGGAAACGCAUGCUAAUACCGCAUACGCCCUACGGGGGAAGGGAGGGGAUCUUCGGACCUUUCGCUAUCAAAUGAGCCUGCGUGAGAUUAGCUAGUUGGUGGGGUAAAGGCUCACCAAGGCGACAAUCUCUAGCUGGUCUGAAAGGAUGAUCAGCCACACUGGGACUGAAACACGGCCCAAACUCCUACGGGAGGCAGCAGUGGGGAAUAUUGGACAAUGGGCGCAAGCCUGAUCCACCCAUGCCGCGUGUGUGAAGAAGGCCUUCGGGUUGUAAAGCACUUUCAAAGGUGAGGAAGGGUGCGUAGUUAAUACCUGCGUACUUUGACGUUAACCUC
This 371-nucleotide ribosomal RNA is filed under the name uncultured Marinomonas sp. RNAcentral's name for it is "bacterial SSU rRNA". It matches the Rfam family "Bacterial small subunit ribosomal RNA", at positions 115 to 482 of the family's 1533-position model. The record is from RNAcentral. Lineage: Bacteria; Pseudomonadati; Pseudomonadota; Gammaproteobacteria; Oceanospirillales; Oceanospirillaceae.